GGGCUCAUAGCUCAGUUGGUAGAGCAUCUGACUUUUAAUCAGAGGGUCACAGGUUCGAACACUGUUGAGCCCACCA
This 76-nucleotide transfer RNA is filed under the name Holosporales bacterium. RNAcentral describes it as "tRNA-Lys". It matches the Rfam family "tRNA". From Rfam's summary of the family: Transfer RNA (tRNA) molecules are approximately 80 nucleotides in length. Their secondary structure includes four short double-helical elements and three loops (D, anti-codon, and T loops). Further hydrogen bonds mediate the characteristic L-shaped molecular structure. tRNAs have two regions of fundamental functional importance: the anti-codon, which is responsible for specific mRNA codon recognition, and the 3' end, to which the tRNAs corresponding amino acid is attached (by aminoacyl-tRNA synthetases). tRNAs cope with the degeneracy of the genetic code in two manners: having more than one tRNA (with a specific anti-codon) for a particular amino acid; and 'wobble' base-pairing, i.e. permitting non-standard base-pairing at the 3rd anti-codon position. The record is from RNAcentral. Lineage: Bacteria; Pseudomonadati; Pseudomonadota; Alphaproteobacteria; Holosporales.